This 439-nucleotide ribosomal RNA is filed under the name uncultured bacterium. RNAcentral describes it as "partial 16S ribosomal RNA". It matches the Rfam family "Bacterial small subunit ribosomal RNA", at positions 338 to 795 of the family's 1533-position model. The record is from RNAcentral.
CCUACGGGAGGCAGCAGUGGGGGAUAUUGCACAAUGGGGGAAACUCUGAUGCAGCGACGCCGCGUGGGGGAAGAAGGGCUUCGGAUUGUAAACCUCUGUCUGUGGGGAAGAAAAUGACGGUACCCGAAGAAGAAGCUCCGGCUAACUACGUGCCAGCAGCCGCGGUAAUACGUAGGGGGCGAGCGUUGUCCGGAAUUACUGGGGGUAAGGGGGGCGUAGGCGGGGGGGAAAGCUGAAGGUUAAAGCUAACGGCUAAACCGGUGGCUGCGUUUAAAACUUCGUGUCUUGAGUGGAGGAGAGGCAGGCGGAAUUCCUGGUGUAGCGGUGAAAUGCGUAGAUAUUAGGAGGAACACCAGUGGCGAAGGCGGCCUGCUGGGCUUCAACUGACGUUGAGGCCCGAAAGCGUGGGGAGCAAACAGGAUUAGAUACCCUAGUAGUC